This 900-nucleotide ribosomal RNA is filed under the name Allocryptovalsa truncata. RNAcentral describes it as "Allocryptovalsa sp. VVS-2019a partial large subunit ribosomal RNA". It matches the Rfam family "Eukaryotic large subunit ribosomal RNA", at positions 40 to 968 of the family's 3401-position model. The record is from RNAcentral. Lineage: Eukaryota; Fungi; Ascomycota; Sordariomycetes; Xylariales; Diatrypaceae.
ACAACAAUAAGCGGAGAAAAGAAACCAACAGGGAUGCCCUAGUAACGGCGAGUGAAGCGGCAACAGCUCAAAUUUGAAAUCUGGCCUUCUGGUCCGAAUUGUAAUUUGUAGAGGAUGCUUUGGGCGCGGUGCCUUCCGAGUUCCUUUGGAACAGGACGCCUUAGAGGGUGAGAGGCCCCGUACGGUUGGACACCAAGCCUAUGUAAAGCUCCUUCGACGAGUCGAGUAGUUUGGGAAUGCUGCUCUAAAUGGGAGGUAAAUUUCUUCUAAAGCUAAAUACCGGCCAGAGACCGAUAGCGCACAAGUAGAGUGAUCGAAAGAUGAAAAGUACUUUGAAAAGAGGGUUAAAUAGCACGUGAAAUUGUUGAAAGGGAAGCAUUUAUGACCAGACCUUUGCUAGGUGGAUCAUCCGGUGUUCUCACCGGUGCACUUCGCCUAGCUUAGGCCAGCAUCGAUUUCUGUAGGGGGAUAAAGGUCUAGGGAACGUAGCUCUCUACGGAGAGUGUUAUAGCCCUGGGCGUAAUACCUUUACGGGGAUCGAGGUUCGCGCUUCGGCAAGGAUGCUGGCAUAAUGGUCAUCAAUGACCCGUCUUGAAACACGGACCAAGGAGUCGAACAUUUAUGCGAGUGUUUGGGUGUUAAACCCUCACGCGUAAUGAAAGUGAACGGAGGUGAGAGCCCUUAAGGGUGCAUCAUCGACCGAUCCUGAUGUCUUCGGAUGGAUUUGAGUAAGAGCAUAACUGUUCGGACCCGAAAGAUGGUGAACUAUGCGUGGAUAGGGUGAAGCCAGAGGAAACUCUGGUGGAGGCUCGCAGCGGUUCUGACGUGCAAAUCGAUCGUCAAAUCUGCGCAUGGGGGCGAAAGACUUAUCGAACCCAUCUAGUAGCUGGUACCGCAGUU